AACGAACGCUGGCGGCAGGCUUAACACAUGCAAGUCGAACGCCCCGCAAGGGGAGUGGCAGACGGGUGAGUAACACGUGGGGAACCUGCCCUUCACUCUGGGAUAACUCCGGGAAACCGGAGCUAAUACCGGAUACUCCUUGCGGAUCGCAUGGUCUGCUUGGGAAAGCUCCGGCGGUGAAGGAUGGUCCCGCGGCCCAUUAGCUUGUUGGUGAGGUAACGGCUCACCAAGGCGACGAUGGGUAGCCGAGCUGAGAGGCUGAUCGGCCACACUGGGGCUGAGACACGGCCCAGACUCCUACGGAGGCAGCAGUGGGGAAUUUUGCGCAAUGGGCGAAAGCCUGACGCAGCAACGCCGCGUGCGGGAUGAAGGCCUCGGUUGUAACGC
RNAcentral lists this ribosomal RNA (387 nucleotides) under uncultured bacterium. RNAcentral describes it as "bacterial SSU rRNA". It matches the Rfam family "Bacterial small subunit ribosomal RNA", at positions 28 to 431 of the family's 1533-position model. The record is from RNAcentral.